AUGAACGCUAGCGGCCGGCCUAAUACAUGCAAGUCGAACGGGAUCCAGAUCAAAGCUUGCUUUGGUCUGGUGAGAGUGGCGCACGGGUGCGUAACGCGUGAGCAACCUACCCUUGUCAGGGGGAUAGCCCGGCGAAAGUCGGAUUAAUACCGCAUGACAUCAUUGAGAGGCAUCUUUCGAUGAUCAAAGAUUUAUCGGACAAGGAUGGGCUCGCGUGACAUUAGCUCGUUGGUAAGGUAACGGCUUACCAAGGCUGCGAUGUCUAGGGGCUCUGAGAGGAGAAUCCCCCACACUGGUACUGAGACACGGACCAGACUCCUACGGGAGGCAGCAGUAAGGAAGAUUGGUCAAUGGACGGAAGUCUGAACCAGCCAUGCCGCGUGCAGGAGGACGGCCCUAUGGGUUGUAAACUGCUUUUAUACGGGAACAAACGUCGGUGCGUGUACCGGUCUGAGUGUACCGUAAGAAUAAGGAUCGGCUAACUCCGUG
This 489-nucleotide ribosomal RNA is filed under the name uncultured bacterium. Its description in RNAcentral is "partial 16S ribosomal RNA". It matches the Rfam family "Bacterial small subunit ribosomal RNA", at positions 29 to 507 of the family's 1533-position model. The record is from RNAcentral.